RNAcentral lists this long non-coding RNA (308 nucleotides) under Actinidia chinensis (golden kiwifruit). RNAcentral describes it as "long non-coding RNA (ACHI_LNC004744)". Lineage: Eukaryota; Viridiplantae; Streptophyta; Magnoliopsida; Ericales; Actinidiaceae. The record is from RNAcentral.
UUUUUUUCCUGAGUCUCCUUCUACGAGCUUGUUUUGCUUUUGUGCGCACCACGGAUUCUUUCAUUUUUAUCUUUCACUCACCACUUUUGGUCACUUUUGAAGAUAUAAGGUGUGGGAUUCUUCAAAUUCUUCUCAACAAUCAAAUGAUCCACUUAUUUGGUACAAAUUGGCAAAACGUAGGGUUGUUUAUUUUUCUCAUUUGGUAGGAAUUUCUUUACCCCAUUUAAAUGUUUAUUUGUUAGAGAAUGUAAUUUAUAUCUUUUACUCAUAUUGAAUCAAAAUAUAAAGUAUUGUUAUGAAUUUUAAGG